GACAGAGGGUGCGAACGUUGUUCGGAAUUACUGGGCGUAAAGCGCGCGUAGGCGGCUUUGCAAGUCGGGUGUGAAAUCCCCAGGCUUAACCUGGGAACUGCAUUCGAGACUGCAUUGCUAGAGUAUGGGAGAGGGAAGUGGAAUUUCCGGUGUAGCGGUGAAAUGCGUAGAUAUCGGAAGGAACAUCAGUGGCGAAAGCGACUUCCUGGACCAAUACUGACGCUCAUGUGCGAAAGCGUGGGGAGCAAACAGGG
Molecule: ribosomal RNA, 254 nt
Filed under: uncultured bacterium
Lineage: Bacteria
Description: partial 16S ribosomal RNA
Rfam family: Bacterial small subunit ribosomal RNA
Source: RNAcentral